UCCGGUUUGUCACCGGCAGUCUCAUUAGAGUGCCCAACUAAAUGUAGCAACUAAUGACAAGGGUUGCGCUCGUUGCGGGACUUAACCCAACAUCUCACGACACGAGCUGACGACAGCCGUGCACCACCUGUGUAACUGUCCCGAAGGAAGACCGUGUUUCCACGGCUGUCAGAGGAUGUCAAACCCAGGUAAGGUUCUUCGCGUUGCAUCGAAUUAAUCCACAUGCUCCGCCGCUUGUGCGGGCCCCCGUCAAUUCCUUUGAGUUUUAGCCUUGCGGCCGUACUCCCCAGGCGGGGCGCUUAAUGCGUUAGCUACGGCACGGAUCCCGUGGAAGGAAACCCACACCUAGCGCCCACCGUUUACGGCGUGGACUAC
This 375-nucleotide unclassified non-coding RNA is filed under the name uncultured Mycobacteriales bacterium. RNAcentral describes it as "uncultured Corynebacteriales bacterium contains 16S-23S intergenic spacer region". The record is from RNAcentral. Lineage: Bacteria; Bacillati; Actinomycetota; Actinomycetes; Mycobacteriales.